This 1349-nucleotide long non-coding RNA is filed under the name Bos indicus x Bos taurus (hybrid cattle). RNAcentral describes it as "lncRNA (ENSBIXG00000000281.1)". The record is from RNAcentral. Lineage: Eukaryota; Metazoa; Chordata; Mammalia; Artiodactyla; Bovidae.
GUUAUUCUGUUGAAUAACUUUUAAUAUGGCAAGAGUUGUCAUCCAUGAUAAUGUCAACCAGAUAAUAAACCAGAUAAUCAUUCCUACACUCUUCUUUUGUUCAACAGACAUGAUUUAAGUGUGCCCCAUGGCUUAAUACUGUAUGAGGCACUGAGAGAAAACAAGAGAUAAAAAUAUAGUAGUUAUUACCCUUUCUCUGAAGGAACCCACAGACCAGCAGAAAGAAUCUAUGUACAGCAGACCUCUCAAAAACAAAGAAAAAAUACCGCCAUUGACAUUUGAUAGAAGUACUAAAAGAAUGGAGAUAAUAAAAUGACAAAGUAAUUCCAGUUGUUGGAGAAAGCAGAGAAGUGACAUUUUAACAUGACGUUAGAUUUAUAAGAUGGACAACAGGGAAAGAAUAUUUAUGCUAAAGAGACAAGCUUGAUGGAAGCCUCUGCCUACCUUGGAGAGAUGGGAUGUCAUGUCAUGCUGAUGAAGCAACACACCUUUAUUCUUGGGCUGUUCAGUUUGGAAAUUUGAUGGUUGGCCAUCUCUUCUGCACUCCUGCCAUCACUGAAAAGGACAUGCCUUAACCAGCCCCCUGUUGAAGGAGGAUAAACACACAGGGAGCAGCUUUUCCCAUCUCACUCACUGACCUGCACCUUGAAGCAGAGCCGCCUUACUAAGCCCUGCCCAGGGGAACAGACCCAAUAAUGCUGCAGAUCCAUGGAAAUGAACAGUUGCCACUUUAAGCUAAUGAGUUUGGAGGUACUUUAUUACAUAGUACGUUUGGAGUACUAUAUGACUAAUAUAGCUACUUCUUUCUGAGAAGAAUCAUAACAAAAUAUCAUACUGUUUUUAUUAUUAUAAGAGCCAAUAGGAUGUUUACUAUUAUUAUCUGAACUUAGUACUAUUUUUAUAUUUUAUGUGGAAUUUAGUCUAAAAAGAUAUAAAGUGUACCCUGGAUCAUGUGACUAGCCAGUUUGCUACCAGGGAUGACCUCAUAACUCUAACUACUACUUUUUGUUGAUAUUUGUGAUUAUUUUGAUGCCCAGUGAAUAUCCAUUUUUGGUAGCUCAGUUGCUAGUAACAUUUAUCUAUUAAGGUGCUGGUAAACAAGACUGGGGGCUUCCUUGGUGGCUCAGAAGUAAAAAAAAAUCUGCCUGCAAUGCAGGAGAUAUAGGUUUGAUCCCUGGGUCAGGAAGACCCCCUGGAAAAGGAAUUGGCAAUCCACUCCAGUAUUCUUGCCUGGGAAAUCCUAUGGACAGAGGAGCCUGGCAGGCUAUGGUCCAUGGGGUGGUGAAAGAGUCAGACACGACUUAGUGACUAAACAACAACAAGAAUGGUGACAAAACAAACCUAACUGA